UACAGAGGGGGCAAGCGUUAUUCGGAAUUAUUGGGCGUAAAGGGCGCGUAGGCGGCCUGGCAAGUGGAAGGUGAAAUCCCUCGGCUUAACCGAGGAACUGCCUCCCAAACUGCUUGGCUUGAGACCGGGAGAGGUGAGUGGAAUUCCCAGUGUAGCGGUGAAAUGCGUAGAUAUUGGGAGGAACACCAGUGGCGAAGGCGGCUCACUGGACCGGUACUGACGCUGAUGCGCGAAAGCGUGGGGAGCAAAC
Molecule: ribosomal RNA, 250 nt
Filed under: uncultured bacterium
Lineage: Bacteria
Description: partial 16S ribosomal RNA
Rfam family: Bacterial small subunit ribosomal RNA
Source: RNAcentral